GCCCCGCUGGCGGACUCCGGGUUCCGCGUCGUCGCCCUCGACGCGCCCGGCCAUGGCGACUCCGACCCGGGCCCGUUCGGCCCGGGGCGGGGCC
This 94-nucleotide transfer RNA is filed under the name Catellatospora sp. IY07-71. RNAcentral describes it as "tRNA-Arg". Lineage: Bacteria; Bacillati; Actinomycetota; Actinomycetes; Micromonosporales; Micromonosporaceae. The record is from RNAcentral.